RNAcentral lists this ribosomal RNA (492 nucleotides) under uncultured bacterium. RNAcentral's name for it is "partial 16S ribosomal RNA". It matches the Rfam family "Bacterial small subunit ribosomal RNA", at positions 29 to 507 of the family's 1533-position model. The record is from RNAcentral.
AGUGAACGCUGGCGGUAUGCCUAACACAUGCAAGUCGAACGGCAGCACAGUAAGAGCUUGCUCUUACGGUUGGCGACUGGCGGAUGGGUGAGGAAUACAUCGGCUUCUACUUUUUCGUGGGUGAUAACGUAGGGAAACUGACGCUAAUACCGCAUACGAUCUACGGGUUAAAGCAGGGGAUCUUCGGACCUUGCGUGAUUGAAUGAGCCGAUGUCGGAUUAGCUAGUUGGCGGGGUAAAGGCCCACCAAGGCGACGAUCCGUAGCUGGUCUGAGAGGGUGAUCAGCCACACUGGAACUGAGACACGGUCCAGACUCCUACGGGAGGCAGCAGUGGGGAAUAUUGGACAAUGGGCGCAAGCCUGAUCCAGCCAUACCGCGUGGGUGAAGAAGGCCUUCGGGUUGUAAAGCCCUUUUGUUGGGAAAGAAAAGCAGCAGGUUAAAACCCCGCUGUUCUGACGGUACCCAAAGAAUAAGCACCGGCUAACUUCGUG